CUACGGGGCGCUCCAGUGGGGAAUAUUGCACAAUGGGCGCAAGCCUGAUGCAGCCAUGCCGCGUGUAUGAAGAAGGCCUUCGGGUUGUAAAGUACUUUCAGCGGGGAGGAAGGGAGUAAAGUUAAUACCUUUGCUCAUUGACGUUACCCGCAGAAGAAGAACCGGCUAACUCCGUGCCAGCAGCCGCGGUAAUACGGAGGGUGCAAGCGUUAAUCGGAAUUACUGGGCGUAAAGCGCACGCAGGCGGUUUGUUAAGUCAGAUGUGAAAUCCCCGGGCUCAACCUGGGAACUGCAGCUGAUACUGGCAAGCUUGAGUCUCGUAGAGGGGGGUAGAAUUCCAGGUGUAGCGGUGAAAUGCGUAGAGAUCUGGAGGAAUACCGGUGGCGAAGGCGGCCCCCUGGACGAAGACUGACGCUCAGGUGCGAAAGCGUGGGGAGCAAACAGGAUUAGAUACCCGAGUAGUC
Molecule: ribosomal RNA, 464 nt
Filed under: uncultured bacterium
Lineage: Bacteria
Description: partial 16S ribosomal RNA
Rfam family: Bacterial small subunit ribosomal RNA
Source: RNAcentral